UUUAUUCGGUAUUACUUAUUCAGUGAAUGGUUUCGGAUUAAAAAGUGUAAAGUGUAAAUUUUUGGUGACGAGGUAUUCUUUAAUUGCCAGUACCAACGUGCGAUGGAAUUAAGGAGAAUGCAGUGGAACAAUCGAAAUUAUGUUUCAGAGAUACGAUACGUGUAACGUCAGAUCGAAUGGACAAUCGAAUUAUUGGCAAGCGCGUAUAUGCCGAAGCAUGUCAAUACAUUUCGUUAGUGCGGUGUCAUUCAAAAUGGGUGGAAGCUAGCUCUUUGUAGUCUGGAUGUUUCGCAGCAGGCAAGCCAGCCGGUAGACAGGUACCUACCUGGAAACGAGUAACUACUUAUUGUCACCUCUAACGAGGCCGCAACAAAAACUCAGCUAUUCGCAGGUGGGAAUGCUGCCAGCUUAUGAAAGUAUCAAUUACCUUCUACGUCCAGUUUCCUAAUGAGGGGAACAGAGCCAUGGAUUACCGAGUCGCCAUAACUGUGACUCCUAGAUCCGUUGCGAUUUUUUCAUAGAUCAACAUGGACAGCGUUCACCAAUCAGAUGUUUACAUUCACAGAGUCUAUAUUUCUUCUCAACCAAUCGUGGCGAGCCUGUUACACAAGAUUGUUAUUACGUAUUAUAUUCGCCUUUAAAUGAAAUCGAACUGUAUGUACUUUCAUGUUACAUAUGUCGGCAACAUGUGUACAUAAUAAAAUAAGUAGACAUUUCAGAAUUAUAGUUAUGCAUGAGAUCUAUACGUAGACAAAAAGGCGUGGUUUUCGUUUCGUGUAUUUUCGAUUAUAAAAAGUCAUAUAAUUUCUGAAAGUCUUAUACUUGAAAGUCUAUCGUUUAAAUGCUUCGUCUAUUGUUAGUGCCUGCUGUUACUUCGUAUUUUUGUUAUAACCUUUUAACAAAGCGCAUAAGUUUAUGUUCAUAUGACAUUUUUUGUUAUUUUUAUUCCAAGAGCGUGCUGAUACUACUUUAUGGAAGAAACCCAGUACAUCCUGUAGGUCUAAUAUUAUAUCGUAUGUCAUGACAUUGCCAGGAAGAAUAGGACAAAUCAAUUCAGUAACAUAAAUAGCGUUUUUACUGAACAAAUAAAAUGUGGAAUUAAAUCUACACUUUAUCGUAUUUAUGACUUUAUUUUCUAAUUAUUCUCAUUAAAUGAAAUAUACUAUGAAACAAUACAACAUUUUAAAAAUUAGAUUUCGGCGCUAUGGACACGUUCAAUGAAAAACAAAUAUUUUAACUUUUAAUAAAUAUUAAAACUAAAAGUAUAGAACUCUUUAAACUAACAUUUACUAUCUAUUAAUAGUAACGUAUGUAGCAUCGUCAUAAAGGUAUAUUUCGUAUUAAAUCAUAAAUGCAUGUCUAUUACUGCGAUAUGUUCGGAAAGAGAUUUUCAAAAUUGAGAUUAUUUACGGAUAUCCAUAUACAAAAUCUAAAUUUGUCAUGUGACAGUUAUAAGUAAUUUAAUUCUUGAAUAAUCUGUAUUAUAACCUUGCCUAUUACGAGAACAUAUUCCCUGUAUUGAAACUGCAUCUUAUCCGAUCAACGCGCGUUACAAUUCGUUAAUGCCAUUAUUCAAAGUUAUCGACUUUCACAUAACAAGGAUUUGUGGUUGAAGCUGUUGAACCUUACGAAGAAAGAUCUAACAAUUUUACGGAUCAUAUGUUUCAUGACGAGUCUAAGUACCACUAUUACAUAAACAUCAAAUGUAACGAUUGAAACGGUUACAUUUACGAUCUCGUAAAUCUGUUUAGAUCGCGAUACGCCGCUUUCUUUGCGCAUAGUUUCUGAUUUGUGACUGCCACCAAUACAGUGGACGUGGGUAAGAUUCGUACUCCCAACUUGAGAUCCAUAGAAGGUACGAUUCCGUAUUCAGUGACGUCAGUCACCUUUCUGGCGUUUCAUUGUUCAAAGAAACAGACAUGCAUCGCUAGACGAAAAGGGAAGCAAGAAGUAAUCAUUGAAGUUCGAAUGGCAGACCGGUAGAUUCAUGCGGAGGAGUAGGGUAGGUUGAAGCGCAUACGUGUAACAUAUGUUACUUACAUACGUAUAUUGCUGUGGUGAUCAUUCAUUGCGAUAUUAGCCACAAUUAGGAAGCGCUUAGUCAAUAGUUCCACUUACAAAAUCGAUGAGAGGAAGUACGGAUUGAACAAACGUGACUAAAGCUCCAGGCGAAUGGACUUCAGAUGAUGCAGGCAAAUCGGUGCUAUAACUCAUUCAUUUAUUCUAUACACUACGUGUACGUCAGAAUUACACGGAAAAACUGGAAGGGAAGAAUAUAAUAAGUUAUGUUACUUA
This is a long non-coding RNA of Bombus pascuorum, 2295 nucleotides long. RefSeq lists it as uncharacterized. The transcript has 3 exons. Lineage: Eukaryota; Metazoa; Arthropoda; Insecta; Hymenoptera; Apidae. The record is from RefSeq and is a predicted model, not a curated record.